Molecule: ribosomal RNA, 611 nt
Filed under: uncultured Lachnospiraceae bacterium
Lineage: Bacteria; Bacillati; Bacillota; Clostridia; Lachnospirales; Lachnospiraceae
Description: bacterial SSU rRNA
Rfam family: Bacterial small subunit ribosomal RNA
Source: RNAcentral
UGCUUUCUCGAGCGAGUGGCGAACGGGUGAGUAACGCGUGAGGAACCUGCCUCAAAGAGGGGGACAACAGUUGGAAACGACUGCUAAUACCGCAUAAGCCCACGGGUCGGCAUCGACCAGAGGGAAAAGGAGCAAUCCGCUUUGAGAUGGCCUCGCGUCCGAUUAGCUAGUUGGUGAGGUAAUGGCCCACCAAGGCGACGAUCGGUAGCCGGACUGAGAGGUUGAACGGCCACAUUGGGACUGAGACACGGCCCAGACUCCUACGGGAGGCAGCAGUGGGGAAUAUUGCACAAUGGGGGAAACCCUGAUGCAGCGACGCCGCGUGGAGGAAGAAGGUCUUCGGAUUGUAAACUCCUGUUGUUGAGGAAGAUAAUGACGGUACUCAACAAGGAAGUGACGGCUAACUACGUGCCAGCAGCCGCGGUAAAACGUAGGUCACAAGCGUUGUCCGGAAUUACUGGGUGUAAAGGGAGCGCAGGCGGGAAGACAAGUUGGAAGUGAAAUCUAUGGGCUCAACCCAUAAACUGCUUUCAAAACUGUUUUCCUUGAGUAGUGCAGAGGUAGGCGGAAUUCCUAGUGUAGCGGUGAAAUGCGUAGAUAUUAGGAGGAAC